RNAcentral lists this ribosomal RNA (254 nucleotides) under uncultured prokaryote. Its description in RNAcentral is "partial 16S ribosomal RNA". It matches the Rfam family "Bacterial small subunit ribosomal RNA", at positions 524 to 776 of the family's 1533-position model. The record is from RNAcentral.
UACGUAGGGUCCAAGCGUUAUCCGGAAUUACUGGGCGUAAAGCGCGUGUAGGCGGCGCGUUAAGUGCAACGCGAAAUCUUGCGGCUCAACCGUAUAGACUGUGUUGCAUACUGGCGUGCUCGAGGACAUGAGAGGCAAGUGGAAUUUGUAGUGUAGCAGUGAAAUGCGUAGAUAUUACAAGGAACACCAAUGGCGAAAGCAGCUUGCUGGCAUGUAUCUGACGCUGAGACACGAAAGCGUGGGGAGCGAACAGG